UUGAAAGGGAAACGAUUGAAGUCAGUCGUACCGACGAGAAAUCAGCUUUUCGAAUGUGCAUUUGUGGGCGUAUGAGAUCUUCAUUGUUUGCAAUAUGUAUGUUUCUUUGGUGUACUUUUUCGUAUGGUAGGUCAACGUCGGUUUUGAUCGCCAUAAAAUGAUCGGAGGAAUGUAGCUUCGGCCUCGGUUGAAGUGUUAUAGCCUUUGGUAAAUGUGGUGAUUAAGACCGAGGAUUGCAACGAAUACCUUUUAGGCUAUCCGUCUGACCUCUGAAAGUUACUUAGGUGUCGAAAGCUUGCUUACGGUCAUUUAAGUUGACGGUCAAUAGGUUAGAACGUGAUUACAUUCGUUAAGGAUGUUGACGUA
RNAcentral lists this ribosomal RNA (366 nucleotides) under uncultured Glomeromycotina. RNAcentral's name for it is "LSU rRNA". Lineage: Eukaryota; Fungi; Glomeromycota. The record is from RNAcentral.